CAGCGACCCGUAUGUGAAGUUCAAGCUCUCUGGGAAGGAGGUGUUUCGAAGCAAAACCAUCCACAAGAACCUGAACCCGGUGUGGGACGAGAACACCACGAUAAUCCUGGACUGCCUGAGCGACCCUCUGUAUGUCAAGGUGUUCGACUACGACUUCGGACUCCAGGACGACUUCAUGGGUUCUGCUUAUCUUUACAUGGAGUCUCUGGAGCAGCAGAGGUGUAUUCCCGUGACGCUGGUUCUGAAGGACCCUCAGCACCCGGACCAGGAUCUGGGUUCUCUGGACCUGUCCGUCACCCUGACCCCCAAAGACACUCCUGUGGAGGAGAGGAGGGACUCCACUUCCACCGUACGUACACCGAUCAUC
This is a long non-coding RNA of Notothenia coriiceps (black rockcod), 367 nucleotides long. RefSeq lists it as uncharacterized. The transcript has 3 exons. The record is from RefSeq and is a predicted model, not a curated record. NCBI's taxonomy places the organism in Eukaryota, Metazoa, Chordata, Actinopteri, Perciformes, Nototheniidae.